This 469-nucleotide ribosomal RNA is filed under the name uncultured bacterium. RNAcentral describes it as "bacterial SSU rRNA". It matches the Rfam family "Bacterial small subunit ribosomal RNA", at positions 329 to 794 of the family's 1533-position model. The record is from RNAcentral.
UGCCAGACUCCUACGGGAGGCAGCAGUAAGGAAUAUUGGUCAAUGGGAGAGAUCCUGAACCAGCCAAGCCGCGUGAGGGAAGACGGCCCUAUGGGUUGUAAACCUCUUUUGUCGGAGAACAAAACCCGGGACGUGUCCCGGACUGCGUGUAUCCGAAGAAAAAGCAUCGGCUAACUCCGUGCCAGCAGCCGCGGUAAUACGUAGGGAGCGAGCGUUGUCCGGAUUUACUGGGUGUAAAGGGUGCGUAGGCGGCCCUGCAAGUCAGAAGUGAAAUCCAUGGGCUUAACCCGUGAACUGCUUUUGAAACUGCAGGACUUGAGUGGAGUAGAGGUAGGCGGAAUUCCCGGUGUAGCGGUGAAAUGCGUAGAGAUCGGGAGGAACACCAGUGGCGAAGGCGGCCUACUGGGCUUUAACUGACGCUGAAGCACGAAAGCGUGGGUAGCAAACAGGAUUAGAUACCCCAGUAUGA